This 1338-nucleotide ribosomal RNA is filed under the name uncultured organism. RNAcentral describes it as "16S ribosomal RNA". It matches the Rfam family "Bacterial small subunit ribosomal RNA". The record is from RNAcentral.
GAGCGGCAGACGGCUGAGUAACACGUUGGUACCUACCCCGUACUCGGGGAUAACUGCCCGAAAGGGUAGCUAAUACCGGAUAGUCUGGAAACAGUAAAGAUUUUUCGGUACGGGAGGGGCCUGCGGCCUAUCAGUUUGUUGGUGAGGUAAAAGCUUACCAAGACUAUGACGGGUAGCUGGUGUGAGAGCAUGACCCAGCCAGAAUGGGACUGAGACACGGCCCAUACUCCUACGGGAGGCAGCAGUAGGGAAUCUUCCACAAUGGACGAAAGUCUGAUGGAGCGACACCGCGUGAGGGAUGACACCUCUUGGGGCGUAAACCUCUUUUCUGAGAGAAUAAAGUUGUUGAAGGUAUCUCAGGAAUAAGCACCGGCUAACUCCGUGCCAGCAGCCGCGGUAAUACGGAGGGUGCAAGCGUUAUCCGGAUUCACUGGGCGUAAAGCGUCCGCAGACGUUUUCGUAACUCUUUGGUUAAAAUUCAGGGCUCAACCCUGAAAUCGUCAAGGAAAAGUGCGGAAAUAGAGGAAUAGAGAGGGAAGUGGAAUUCUCGGUGUAGGAGUUAAAUCCGUUGAUAUCGAGAGGAACACCAAAAGCGAAGGCAGCUUCCUGGCUAUUUCCUGGCGUUCAUGGACGAAAGUGUGGGUAGCGAAAAGGAUUAGAUACCCUUGUAGUCCACACCGUAAACGAUGGAUACUCGGUUUUUGAUUUCCCUUUUGGGAUUUUAAGAGCCUAAGCUAACGCGAUAAGUAUCCCGCCUGGGUAGUACGGUCGCAAGAUUAAAACUCAAAGGAAUAGACGGGGAUCUGCACAAGCGGUGGAUCAUCUGGCUUAAUUCGAUAAUAAACGGGGAACCUUACCAGGGCUUGAAAUCCUAACUAAUCCACGCCGGAAACGGUAGGAGUGCUUCGGCCGUUAGUGACAGGCGCUGCAUGGUUGUCGUCAGCUCGUGCCUUGAGGUGUUCGGUUAAGUCCGCAAACGAGCGCAACCCUCGCCAUGAUUUGUAUUUUUAUCAUGGGACUGCCUAGGUCAACUAGGAGGAAGGUGAGGAUGACGUCAAAUCGGCAUGGCCCUUACGCUCUGGGCUGCACAGAUGAUACAAUGGCUGGUACAGAGGGAAGCGAAGCUGCGAAGUGGAGCAAAUCUCACAAAGCCAGUCUCAAUUCGGAUCGUAGUCUGCAACUCGACUACGUGAAGCUGGAAUCGCUAGUAAUCGUGAAUCAGAUAUGUCACGGUGAAUAUGUUCUCAGAUCUUGUACUCACCGCCCGUCAAGUCAUGGAAGCUGGGGGUGCCCAAAGUCUGCUCAUUAAGGGUGGCCUAAGGUAAACCAGUGACUGGG